RNAcentral lists this long non-coding RNA (5174 nucleotides) under Sus scrofa (pig). Its description in RNAcentral is "lncRNA (ENSSSCG00005039510.1)". The record is from RNAcentral. Lineage: Eukaryota; Metazoa; Chordata; Mammalia; Artiodactyla; Suidae.
AUGAGUGGUUCCUUCUUUUGUGAUUCAGUAGCAACUUGUGUGUGCUUCUCUUUGAUCACUUUGCUAGUUCUUUCUCAUUGUGGUAAUCUGUUUACAUGGCCCUCUUCCCAGGCUCCAAAAGUAGACUCUGUUUUAUUCCUCUUUUUAUUUCCAGUGCCUGGCCAAGUGCCCAGCAUUGGGAGGUGUUCGGUGUAUUGUUUGGGAAGCCAUAUUUUCUGGCAUUGGAAUCAAGGCACCUGGGUGCCCAUGGGACCAUCAACCUUGCUGGGGAUAACACUGCUAAAUGCUCCACAAAAUCACGUCUGUGAAGAAGGAAGAUUGAUGGUGGCCCCUGCACGAGGCACAGACAAGACCUGUCAUAGUUGUCAUGUGGUUAUGGCCUACACCCUGUAAAUUAUAGUCAAAGGGCGCCAUUAAAAAGUCUAGCAGAUGAAAGCAACAAAGAAAGUUUCCAGAAGACAACAAGGAAAGUUUCUAGAAGACCAGCAGCUGAAGGUCAUGGGAGUUGUGUGAAUGUGCUCCUUCUAACGGCCCUGGCUCACCUCUGCCUGAGCCUUGGCAGGAUUUGAACUUGGAGCCUGGAAGGCACACCUGGAACUUUCAGUGAAGACGCAUCUGGAGAGGCCUUGGAAUAGUUCAGUAGACAUCACACUGUACCCGAAUUUUCUCUCUUCUCUUCCCCCACUUCCUCCCCAGGAAGGUAAAAUAGACUAAAUGAUCAAUUAGGGAGUUCUGUUGUAGCUCAGCAGUAACAAACCCUACUAGCAUCCAUGAAGAUGUGGGUUUGAUCCCUGGCCUCGCUCAGUGGGUUAAGGAUCCCCAGCAUUGCUGUGAGCUAUGGUGUAAGUCGCAGAUGCAGCUCAGAUCCUGUGUUGCUAUGGCUGUGGUGUAGGCCGGUGGCUGCAGCUCAGAUUCAACCCCUAGCCUGGGAACCUCCAUAUGCUGUAGAUGCAGCCCUGCCUUACUAUACAGCACAGGGAACUGUGUGUGAUUGGGUCACUUUGCUGUACAACAGUAAUUGAAGAAAUAUUGUAAAUCAACUAUUUUUUCAUUUUUUUAAAGCAAUAAAUAAAUAGAUAGAUAAAUGAAUUAACGAAAUGAUCAAUGGGGACAGGUUUCAAGGGAAAAAUAGACUCAAGGAGCCACUGGCAGGAUGUGACUGAAAGGGGGCCCUCCAUCCCACCCACCUCUCCCUCUCUGCCUGACCCCAGCAGCUACUGGAGGACAGAGAAAGACUUGCCCCCUCCUAGGGGCAACUCAGCAUUUGGAUGAUGCAGCUGAGACUGGCAAAUGCCGCAGGUGAUGACCUCAUUAGGUCAGGAAAGGUAGCAGCUAGGAGCUGGCAUUUUGGAGACAGACCUUGGUUUGACUUCCUGGCUGGCACGUACUCCUUUUUUUAGCCUAUUACACCUUCGGUUUGAAUCAGGUUGAUGCUUGAGACAAAUGUCUUCACUGAGGCACUCAGAGACUCAGUGUCUGCUCUGAGGGCCUAUUACCCACCUCCUCGUAGAGGGCUAAAGAUUGAACUGGAUAAUGUAAAGCCCCAAGUGCAGGGGAGGUAGUCAACAGAGGGUCUCUCAGUCUGCCUUCCUAAAGGACCACGAAAACCUAGUCUCAGUUACUAACGGGAAGCUGCUCUCGCUCUCUCUCUCUCUAGGAACUGAGCGCUGAAACCCAGGUGAGGUGUUCUCCAAACCGUUUUCUAAGUAUGCACUCUUGCUACACACAUAUAUUUUGCAUAUUUACAAUACCCUGUUGAUGUCAAUUUGGGGGGCUGUAAAAUCAUCUGGAUUUAUACAACUUUCUCCAGAUUGUUUUUAUAUAUUGGAUUUAAUUUUGCCAGUGAUAACGGAAGUAAAUUUAACUUUGGAAGAUCAUUAACACUUCAAUCUACCAAGACCUUCGGAAAAAAAUAGUUCCAUCCAUCAGUAAGCUUGAAUUUGAGGGAUCCCUGGCCAGGACCUUGCUGAUAACCUAUUAAUCUGCAUGAGACUUCUAUCUGGAAGUAUAAUAGACCAUUCCUUGCAAUGAUUUUUUUAAUUUAAACUUAUUUAUUUAUUUAUUUGUUUGUUUUUGUCUUUUUGUCUUUUUUAGGGCUACAUCCUCGGCAUAUGGAGAUUCCCAGGCUAGGGUUCAAGUUGGAGCAGCAGCUGCCGGCCUAUACCACAGCCACAGCAACUCAGGAUCCAAGCCACGUCUUUGACCUACACCACAGCUCACAGCAAUGCUGGAUCCUUAACCCACUGAGCAAGGCCAGGGAUCGAACCUCAAACCUCAUGGUUCCUAGUCGGAUUCGUUAACCACUGAGCCACAGGGGGAACUCCCUUAUUUGAACUUUUAAAUUUUGCAAUUACAUGAAGUUUUAAGAACUAAUACCAAGAGAUCUCAGGUACCCUUUACCGGUUUCCCCCAGUGGUAAUAUUUUAUAAAACUAUAGUAAAAUAUCAGAACUGGUAUAUUGACAUUGAGACAGUCAAUAUACAGAAUUUUCCAUCACCAUAAGGAUUCCCUUUUUUGCCUUUUAAAUCCAUACCCACCUCCAUCCCCUCUUUAACCCCUGGCAACCAAAUAUCUGCUCUCGGGAGUUCCUGUCAUGGCUCAGUGUUUAACGAACCCGAAUAGUAUCUAUGAGGUUGCGGGUUCAAUCCCUGGCCUUGCUCACUGGGUUAAGGAUCUGGCUUUGCUGUGAGCUGUGGUGUAGGUUGCAGACAUGGCUUGGAUCCCAAGGUGCUGUGGCUAUGGUGUAGGCCGGUAGCUGUAGCUCCGAUUUGACCCCUAGCCUGGGAACUUCCAUAUGCUGAGGGUGUGGCCCUAAAAUGCCCAAAAAAAAAGACCAAAAAAAUUUUUUUGAAAAAAAAUUGAAAGUGCACAUAAAAAAAUUCUUCUCUCCAUAUCUAUAAUUUUAUUCUUGUCAUUUAAAGAACGUUAUAUAAAUAUCAUCAAAAAGUCUACAAAUAGGAGUUCCCAUUGUGGCUCAGCAGGUUAAGAACCUGGCAUAGUUUCUGUGAGGUUGCAGGUUAAAUCCCUGGCCUCACUCAGUGGGUUAAGGAUCUGGCAUUUCUGUAAGCUGUGGCAUAGGUUGCGGAUGCAGUUCAGAUCCGGUGUUGGUGUGAUGGUAGUGUAGACCGAUUCAGCCCCUAGCCCAGGAACUUCCAUAUGCCAAAGGUGUGGCCCUAAAAAGAAAAAGAGUCUACAAAUAAUAAAUUUCGGAGAGGGUAUGGAGAAAAGAUAAUGCUCCUACAAUGUUGGGAGGGAAUGUAAGUGAUACAGCCUCUAUUGAAAACAGUAUGGAGGUUCCUUAAAAAACUAAAAAUAAGAGUUCUUGUCAUGGCUCAGUGAAAACAAAUCUGACUAGCAUCCAUGAUGCAGGUUUGAUUCCUGGCCUCCCUCAGUGGGUUAAGGAUCUGGUGUUGCUGUCAGCUGUGGUGUAGUUUGCAGACGCAGCUCAGAUCCCACGUUGCCAUGGCUGUGAUAUAGUCUGGUAGCUGCAGCCCCAAUUCAACCCCUAGGCUGGGAACUUCCAUUUGCCAUGGGUGUGGCCCUAAAAAGACAAACAAACAGAUAAAAACUAAAAAUAGAGUCACUACAUAAUCCAACAAUCCCACUCCUGGGAAUAUAUCCAGAAAAAGUGAAAACUCUAAUUCAAAAGAAAUAUGCCCCCCCAGUGUUCAUAUUAGCACUAUUUACAAUAGCCAAUACAUGGAAAGAACCUCAGUGCCCAUUAACAGAUUAUUGGCUUAAGAUAUAUAUAUAUGGAUAUAUUUGGAAUACUACUCAGCCACGGAAAAGAAUAUAUUAUUGCUAUUUGCAGCAACAUGGGAAGACCUAGAGAAUAUUAAUACUUAUUAAUAUUAAUGCUUAUGAAUAUUAAUACUUAGUGAAGUAACUCAGAUAGAGAAAGGCAAAUACCUAUAUCACUUAUAUGUGGAAUCCAAAAAAUAAUUCAAAUGAAUCUAUAUACAAAACAGACACAGACUCACAGACAGAGAAAACAAAUUUAUGGUUACCAAAGGGAGGGGGCGAUUAAAAGCAUGGAGUUAACAGAUAGUUUAUAUCUACACAGAAAAUAGGUAAGCAACAAGGAUUUACAGACUAGCACAGGGAAUUAUACUAUCUUGUAAUAACCUAUAGUAGAAUAUAAUAUGAAUUACAUGUAUUGAAUCACUGAAUCACUUUGCUGUACACUUAAAACUAAGACAAUAUUGUAAAUCUGUUGCUGAAAUUCAGCCUCCGUCUGCUGGUGCCAAAAUGAAAAGCAGAGACAGGAGUUCCUGUCGUGUCUCAGUGGUUAACGAAUCCGACUAGGAACCAUGAGGUUGCGGGUUCAAUCCCUGGCCUUGCUCAGUGGUUAAGGAUCCAGCGUUGCCGUGAGCUGUGGUGUAGGUUGCAGACACAGCUCGGAUCUGGCAUUGCUGUGGCUCUGGUGUAGGCUGGCGACUGCAGCUCCGAUUAGACCCCUCGCCUGGGAACCUCCAUAUGCCAUGGGAGCGGCCCUAGAACAGGCAAAAAGACAAAAAAAAAAAAAAAAAAAAAAAGGGGGAAAAAAAGAAAAGCAGAGACAGAGUUUGGGUAAAGGAGAAAAAGCUUUAUCGCUUUGCCAGGCAAAGGGGGCCACAGCAGGCUAACGCCUUAAAGACCAUGCCUCCCUUGGAAGGGGUUAGGAGGUGGUUUUAUAGUUUGGAGAGUGGAAGAUAGGGCCAUAGAUAAGGAUCAGGGUAGAGGCAGGCUUGCAUUGUCUCUCAAAUCUGGUAUUUGGUGGCCCCAGGACUGGUUCUGGUGGUCCUUCUUCCUGGAAUGAAGACUGCUCCAUCAUGUAGUUCUUCCAUUUGUUGGGGGGGUUUAGUUCUACGGAAAGGCUCAGAGAUAUUAUUUAUGUAUAUUCCUUGAGCAGGAACCAAGACCCUGCCCCAAGUCUGCCCUAUUGUCUCUUGACUGCUCCUCCCUGGUCUCUGCAUCCCCCCUCCCCAAUUCCCUGAUUAGCAACUGCCCUUUGGAACUCAGGGAAAGUCAUGGAGGCUAAGGCUUCUUCCCUAAAAAUAAGAAAUGGAGGACACAGAAAGGCUUAGGUGCCCAGGAGCCCCACAGGGCACUCGCUCAGUUACAGAUCUGCCCUACUUCAACAUUUAUUUAUUUAUGUAUUUAUUUAUUUAUUUAUAGCUGCACCUGCCUGUCCU